This 291-nucleotide ribosomal RNA is filed under the name uncultured soil bacterium. RNAcentral's name for it is "partial 16S ribosomal RNA". It matches the Rfam family "Bacterial small subunit ribosomal RNA", at positions 26 to 321 of the family's 1533-position model. The record is from RNAcentral.
AGAUUGAACGCUGGCGGCAUGCCUUACACAUGCAAGUCGAACGCGAAAGGGGGGCAACCCCCGAGUAGAGUGGCGAACGGGUGAGUAAUACAUCGGAACGUGUCCAGUAGCGGGGGAUAACCUCUCGAAAGAGAAGCUAAUACCGCAUACGACCUACGGGUGAAAGAGGGGGAUCGCAAGACCUCUCACUAUUGGAGCGGCCGAUGUCGGAUUAGCUAGUUGGCGGGGUAACGGCCCACAAGGCUACGAUCCGUAGCUGGUCUGAGAGGACGACCAGCCACACUGGAACUG